AUCGUGACUCUUCAAGCCGAUAAACUUUUCUUCUUUUCUGUCGACAUAGUUACGCAAAUUAGAUGUGUAACCGUCUGGAAAUUCCACAUCGUUUGAAAUCCAAUCAAAGAACGCUUCUUUUCCCUCUGCAUCAAGUCGGUAUAUGGAAAAAUGAGCCCUACCAUUCUCAUCAACAUGAAACUCUGAACGAGCACAUAUAUCGACUAAAUCCAGUCUUGACUUCAAAUUAUCCUUUGUUUUACCUUGAAAGUUAAGGAUCGUGUUCAUGAGAUUGUCAAAAAAAGUUCUUCUCAAUAUGCAUGACAUCUAAAUUAUGCCUCAGCAGAUGACCCUUCCAGUAUGGCAGAUCCCAGAAAAUACUAUUUUUGUGCCAGUUAUGUAGCUCUCCAACCGCACUGACUCGAAUGUUUUCAUGUCCACCUACAUCCGGCGUCCUUUCUGCAUCAAAAUAUCUAAACUGCUUCAACGAAUCUUUCCCACU
RNAcentral lists this long non-coding RNA (481 nucleotides) under Brassica napus (rape). RNAcentral's name for it is "long non-coding RNA (BNAP_LNC014443)". Lineage: Eukaryota; Viridiplantae; Streptophyta; Magnoliopsida; Brassicales; Brassicaceae. The record is from RNAcentral.